Molecule: ribosomal RNA, 496 nt
Filed under: uncultured bacterium
Lineage: Bacteria
Description: partial 16S ribosomal RNA
Rfam family: Bacterial small subunit ribosomal RNA
Source: RNAcentral
ACGAACGCUGGCGGCGUGCCUAGUACAUGCAAGUAGAACGCUGAAGAGAGGAGCUUGCUCUUCUUGGAUGAGUUGCGAACGGGUGAGUAACGCGUAGGUAACCUGCCUUGUAGCGGGGGAUAACUAUUGGAAACGAUAGCUAAUACCGCAUAACAAUGGAUGACACAUGUCAUUUAUUUGAAAGGGGCAAUUGCUCCACUACAAGAUGGACCUGCGUUGUAUUAGCUAGUAGGUGAGGUAAUGGCUCACCUAGGCGACGAUACAUAGCCGACCUGAGAGGGUGAUCGGCCACACUGGGACUGAGACACGGCCCAGACUCCCACGGGAGGCAGCAGUAGGGAAUCUUCGGCAAUGGGGGCAACCCUGACCGAGCAACGCCGGGGGAGUGAAGAAGGUUUUCGGAUCGUAAAGCUCUGUUGUAAGUCAAGAACGGGUGUGAGAGUGGAAAGUUCACACUGUGACGGUAGCUUACCAGAAAGGGACGGCUAACUACGUG